RNAcentral lists this ribosomal RNA (475 nucleotides) under uncultured organism. RNAcentral's name for it is "partial 16S ribosomal RNA". It matches the Rfam family "Bacterial small subunit ribosomal RNA", at positions 331 to 797 of the family's 1533-position model. The record is from RNAcentral.
GUACACUCCUGCGGGAGGCAGCAGUGGGGAAUUUUGGACAAUGGGCGAAAGCCUGAUCCAGCAAUGCCGCGUGUGUGAAGAAGGCCUUCGGGUUGUAAAGCACUUUUGUCCGGAAAGAAAUCCUUGGCUCUAAUACAGUCGGGGGAUGACGGUACCGGAAGCAUAAGCACCGGCUAACUACGUGCCAGCAGCCGCGGUAAUACGUAGGGUGCGAGCGUUAAUCGGAAUUACUGGGCGUAAAGCGUGCGCAGGCGGUUUGCUAAGACCGAUGUGAAAUCCCCGGGCUCAACCUGGGAACUGCAUUGGUGACUGGCAGGCUAGAGUAUGGCAGAGGGGGGUAGAAUUCCACGUGUAGCAGUGAAAUGCGUAGAGAUGUGGAGGAAUACCGAUGGCGAAGGCAGCCCCCUGGGCCAAUACUGACGCUCAUGCACGAAAGCGUGGGGAGCAAACAGGAUUAGAAACCCCUGUAGUCCCA